UACGGGAGGCAGCAGUGGGGAAUAUUGCACAAUGGGCGAAAGCCUGAUGCAGCGACGCCGCGUGAGGGAUGACGGCCUUCGGGUUGUAAACCUCUUUCAGCAGGGAAGAAGCGAAAGUGACGGUACCUGCAGAAGAAGCGCCGGCUAACUACGUGCCAGCAGCCGCGGUAAUACGUAGGGCGCGAGCGUUGUCCGGAAUUAUUGGGCGUAAAGAGCUCGUAGGCGGCUUGUCGCGUCGGUUGUGAAAGCCCGGGGCUUAACCCCGGGUCUGCAGUCGAUACGGGCAGGCUAGAGUUCGGUAGGGGAGAUCGGAAUUCCUGGUGUAGCGGUGAAAUGCGCAGAUAUCAGGAGGAACACCGGUGGCGAAGGCGGAUCUCUGGGCCGAUACUGACGCUGAGGAGCGAAAGCGUGGGGAGCGAACAGGAUUAGAUACCCUGGUAGUCCACGCCGUAAACGGUGGGCACUAGGUGUGGGCGACAUUCCACGUCGUCCGUGCCGCAGCUAACGCAUUAAGUGCCCCGCCUGGGGAGUACGGCCGCAAGGCUAAAACUCAAAGGAAUUGACGGGGGCCCGCACAAGCGGCGGAGCAUGUGGCUUAAUUCGACGCAACGCGAAGAACCUUACCAAGGCUUGACAUACACCGG
RNAcentral lists this ribosomal RNA (644 nucleotides) under Streptomyces sp. Its description in RNAcentral is "bacterial SSU rRNA". It matches the Rfam family "Bacterial small subunit ribosomal RNA", at positions 340 to 994 of the family's 1533-position model. The record is from RNAcentral. Lineage: Bacteria; Bacillati; Actinomycetota; Actinomycetes; Kitasatosporales; Streptomycetaceae.